Small nuclear RNA from Gracilinanus agilis (Agile Gracile Mouse Opossum), 103 nucleotides. Lineage: Eukaryota; Metazoa; Chordata; Mammalia; Didelphimorphia; Didelphidae. The record is from RefSeq and is a predicted model, not a curated record.
UUGUUUCAGCAGCACAUAUGCUAAAAUUGGAACAAUACAGAGAAGAUUAGCAUGACCCUUGUGCAAAGAUGACAUGCAAAUUUGCAAAGCAUUCCAUAUUUUU